This 390-nucleotide RNase P RNA is filed under the name Rufibacter tibetensis. RNAcentral's name for it is "Flexibacteraceae bacterium 1351 Bacterial RNase P class A". It matches the Rfam family "Bacterial RNase P class A". Rfam says of the family: Ribonuclease P (RNase P) is a ubiquitous endoribonuclease, found in archaea, bacteria and eukarya as well as chloroplasts and mitochondria. Its best characterised activity is the generation of mature 5'-ends of tRNAs by cleaving the 5'-leader elements of precursor-tRNAs. Cellular RNase Ps are ribonucleoproteins. Lineage: Bacteria; Pseudomonadati; Bacteroidota; Cytophagia; Cytophagales; Hymenobacteraceae. The record is from Rfam by way of RNAcentral.
UCAGCAAGCUGGCUUAUCGCUGCGUCUUCGGGCGGGGAGGAAAGUCCGGGCAACGCAGAGCAUCCUGCUUCCUAACGGGAAGGCACCUGGCGGGCGACAGCCAGGUGACAGCCAGUGCCACAGAAAAGUACCGCCGGUUUUGCCGGUAAGGGUGAAAAGGUGCGGUAAGAGCGCACCAGCGGCUAGGCAACUAGUCCGGCUGGGUAAACCUCAGGAGUUGAAAGACCAAAUAGGCUGACAGCGCCUUUCCUUUGGGAGAGGCUAAGGGCUGCUCGUCCGAUGUCAGCGGGUAGGUUGAUGGAGCCCCUCCGUGAGGAUGGGUCUAGAUAAAUGAUAAGCCAUUUGCCAUUUGGCAGAGGACAAAACCCGGCUUACAGGCUUGCUGAUUUU